CUCUUAUUCGGAGUGAUGGAGAUACAUAGGAUCUGUGAAGUCACGGCAACCCCCUGCUGAUGCGUGGAAGGUGCCAACCUGAGCGAGUAAUCGAACAAUAAGAG
Molecule: non-coding RNA, 104 nt
Filed under: Eubacterium plexicaudatum
Lineage: Bacteria; Bacillati; Bacillota; Clostridia; Eubacteriales; Eubacteriaceae
Also listed under: 1 other name
Description: SAM-I sequence
Rfam family: SAM riboswitch aptamer (S box leader)
About the family: The SAM riboswitch is found upstream of a number of genes which code for proteins involved in methionine or cysteine biosynthesis in Gram-positive bacteria. The SAM riboswitch acts at the level of transcription termination control.
Source: RNAcentral